RNAcentral lists this ribosomal RNA (406 nucleotides) under uncultured bacterium. RNAcentral's name for it is "partial 16S ribosomal RNA". It matches the Rfam family "Bacterial small subunit ribosomal RNA", at positions 29 to 526 of the family's 1533-position model. The record is from RNAcentral.
AUUGAACGCUGGCGGCAGGCCUAACACAUGCAAGUCGAGCGAGCGGAGGACGGGUGAGUAAUGUCUGGGAAACUGCCUGAUGGCGGGGGAUAACUACUGGAAACGGUAGCUAAUACCGCAUACCAUCAGCUGAGCACGGAUGGGAUUAGCUAGUAGGUGGGGUAACGGCUCAACUAGGCGACGAGCCCUAGCUGGUCUGAGAGGAUGACCAGCCACACUGGAACUGAGACAAGGUCCAGACUCCUACGGGAGGCAGCAGUGGGGAAUAUGGCACAAUGGGCGCAAGCCUGAUGCAGCCAUGCCGCGUGUGUGAAGAAGGCCGUCGGGUUGUAAAGCACUUUCAGCGGGGAGGCGUUACCCGCAGAAGAAGCACCGGCUAACUCCGUGCCAGCCGCCGCGGUAAUAC